This 673-nucleotide ribosomal RNA is filed under the name uncultured Tuber. RNAcentral's name for it is "eukaryotic LSU rRNA". The stretch from base 280 to 433 matches the Rfam family "5.8S ribosomal RNA". Lineage: Eukaryota; Fungi; Ascomycota; Pezizomycetes; Pezizales; Tuberaceae. The record is from RNAcentral.
UCUUGGUCAUUUAGAGGAAGUAAAAGUCGUAACAAGGUUUCCGUAGGUGAACCUGCGGAAGGAUCAUUACCAAUAUCUGGGAUGCCAAAGACACAGGCUCUCGAUAAAACACAUUUAUGCGUAUCCUCCCAUGUUGCUUUCCCAGGCCAGCGGCCACUGCUGCCAGCCAUGCCAUUUUUCGGUUACAUGGUUGAGGUGCUUGGGGAAGGGCUAAUUAUCAAACUUUACUUCACCUUAUUGUCUGAGAAGGCCAUGUGCCGUAAUCUUUAAACAUGUUAAAACUUUCAACAACGGAUCUCUUGGCUCUCGCAUCGAUGAAGAACGCAGCGAAAUGCGAUAAGUAAUGUGAAUUGCAGAAUUCAGUGAAUCAUCGAAUCUUUGAACGCACAUUGCGCCCUUUGGUAUUCCUUAGGGCAUGCCUGUUCGAGCGUCGCAAAAACCCAGAUCACCUAGAGUGUGGUAUUGGCAGAAGUGGCCGGGGCUAUCAGCGCUGCUACCACUCUGCUGGAAUGAAUAGGCUGGAAAAGUAGAUCAUAGCAACAGACUUUCACAGUAUUUUGAAAUGCUAAAUUAGUUUGAAGCUGAUCGGAACCUAAGCCAUUUGACCCCCAUCCUGCGUAAAGCAGUAAGGUUGACCUCGGAUCAGGUAGGGAUACCCGCUGAACUUAAGCAU